Maniola jurtina (meadow brown) is the source of this 1202-nucleotide long non-coding RNA. RefSeq lists it as uncharacterized. NCBI's taxonomy places the organism in Eukaryota, Metazoa, Arthropoda, Insecta, Lepidoptera, Nymphalidae. The transcript is spliced from 2 exons. The record is from RefSeq and is a predicted model, not a curated record.
GUAGAAAAUCAAAAUCGAUUAACAGCCUUAGUAAGUCGAAUAAGUCAGAGCAAUUCAGAAAGAGAUUCUGAUUUAAUAAAAUAUGCACAUUUAGCACAAGUUCUUCUCAUUCUUAGUGACAAUGUAGAUUCAAUUUCUCAAGAAGUUGUGAAAUUACAAAAUGUAUUAGGUUUUAUCAAGGUUUCGGUUGCACAUCAUUCAGUUAUAAGCUUAAGUACAAUUAAAUAUUUAGUUAGUAGGUUAACCAGUCUUUAUGGUACUGGUAAAAUUAUAUCUUUAGAUGAUAGAGAGUAUUAUGAUAUUAUAGGAUUAGGUUCGUAUUAUGUAAGAAACGAAAUAUUCAUAGUUUAUAAAUUUCCUAUAAUUCUAACCCAAGUAUAUGAUAUGUAUAAAUUAUCCAUUGUACCCAACAAGAAUCAUGAGAUCCUAAUUCCUUAUCAUCCAUUCCUGGCAAUAAGCUUGAACGAGUACAGGUACAUAGAGGCUGAAUGCCCGAAGACCAGCAAGGGUUAUCUAUGUGCCGAUAUUAGAAGCUUACAGCGUGAACCUUCAAAUCAACCAGAUUGUAUCCAACAACUUAUAACCGCCCAAAAUAGAAGCAGGCCAAGCAAUUCAAGUUAUGGAUUUACCUAAAGAAGAACCCUAUGACUCAAGACCAUCUCCGCAUUAUGAAUUGAAGUCCACAAAACUGGAUCACCUACAUCAUGCAAGUGCAAAGGUUUCAUCUCAAACACCUAUCACUUUACCUCCGAGUUCGGACCACGGAAGUAUUUACCACACAACCAUACCCAUAUACACCAUAUUGGUUGGAACCUGCGGACUGAGUAUAAUCAUCAUAGUUUAUCGUAAAAUACAGCGCACGAAGACAUUGCAGAUAAGAAGCACAGCCGAAAUUCAGAGUUCUUCAUCCGAUGACCUCCCGGCGCAAUUCACAGCCAAGGUGUUCCAUAAGCGCCGAUCUGAUGGGGGAGGUGUUACGCAGGCGAAGCCAGCGGCUGAUACAUAGUGAGCCAGCGCAACAUGCAUUCCCAUUCCCACGUACGAAUACGACCCGUAUAGCUGACGCGGCGUAAUACCAGAACCCGCGCGAUGUGGGAAUCGUAAUAUUAAGUUAGAAUAUUCUCAUCCUUAGAGAUAAGCACUAGUUUUUAGUCUUUUCAUUUAAAUGUAACUUUGAAUAUAAUUAUUAUAAGGAUAUUAUC